UUGAAACACUGGUUUUCAUCCAGUCACCGAAGUUAAGCAAUGUUGAGCCUGGCCAGUACCAAAAUGGGUGACUACUCCGGAAUACCAAGUGGUGUUA
This is a non-coding RNA of Acanthosepion pharaonis, 97 nucleotides long. Lineage: Eukaryota; Metazoa; Mollusca; Cephalopoda; Sepiida; Sepiidae. The record is from the annotation of a GenBank genome assembly.